CAAAUCAGGUAGGACUACCCGCUGAACUUAAGCAUAUCAAUAAGCGGAGGAAAAGAAACUAACAAGGAUUCCCCUAGUAACUGCGAGUGAAGCGGGAAAAGCUCAAAUUUGUAAUCUGGCGGUCUUGGGCCGUCCGAAUUGUAAACUAGAGAAGUGUUAUCCGCGCUGGACCGUGUACAAGUCCCCUGGAAUGGGGCGUCAUAGAGGGUGAGAAUCCCGUCUUUGACACGGACUACCAGGGCUUUGCGAUGCGCUCUCAAAGAGUCGAGUUGUUUGGGAAUGCAGCUCAAAAUGGGUGGUAAAUUCCAUCUAAAGCUAAAUAUUGGCGAGAGACCGAUAGCGAACAAGUACCGUGAGGGAAAGAUGAAAAGAACUUUGGAAAGAGAGUUAAACAGUACGUGAAAUUGCUGAAAGGGAAACGCUUGAAGUCAGUCGCGUUGGCCAGGGAUCAGCCUUACUUUUGUGGGGUGUACUUCCUUGUCGACGGGUCAGCAUCAGUUUUGGCUGCUGGAUAAAGGCUGGGGGAAUGUGGCAUCCUCGGAUGUGUUAUAGCCCUUGGUUGGAUACAGUGGCUGGGACUGAGGAACUCAGCACGCGCAAGCUGUGCUUAGGAUGCUGGCAAA
This 623-nucleotide ribosomal RNA is filed under the name Hohenbuehelia subreniformis. RNAcentral describes it as "eukaryotic LSU rRNA". It matches the Rfam family "Eukaryotic large subunit ribosomal RNA", at positions 1 to 633 of the family's 3401-position model. Lineage: Eukaryota; Fungi; Basidiomycota; Agaricomycetes; Agaricales; Pleurotaceae. The record is from RNAcentral.